AGACCGAUAGCGAACAAGUAGAGUGAUCGAAAGAUGAAAAGCACUUUGAAAAGAGAGUUAAACAGCACGUGAAAUUGUUGAAAGGGAAGCGCUUGCGACCAGACUCGCCCGCGGGGUUCAGCCGGCAUUCGUGCCGGUGUACUUCCCCGUGGGCGGGCCAGCGUCGGUUUGGGCGGCCGGUCAAAGGCCCCUGGAAUGUAGUACCCUCCGGGGUACCUUAUAGCCAGGGGUCAAUCGGCCAACCUGGACCGAAGAACCGCUU
Molecule: ribosomal RNA, 262 nt
Filed under: Aspergillus sp. BAB-657
Lineage: Eukaryota; Fungi; Ascomycota; Eurotiomycetes; Eurotiales; Aspergillaceae
Description: partial 28S ribosomal RNA
Rfam family: Eukaryotic large subunit ribosomal RNA
Source: RNAcentral